Molecule: ribosomal RNA, 588 nt
Filed under: Sarcocystis sp.
Lineage: Eukaryota; Apicomplexa; Conoidasida; Eucoccidiorida; Sarcocystidae
Description: SSU rRNA
Rfam family: Eukaryotic small subunit ribosomal RNA
Source: RNAcentral
UCGACGGUACUGUAUUGGACUACCGUGGCAGUGACGGGUAACGGGGAAUUAGGGUUCGAUUCCGGAGAGGGAGCCUGAGAAACGGCUACCACAUCUAAGGAAGGCAGCAGGCGCGCAAAUUACCCAAUCCUGACUCAGGGAGGUAGUGACAAGAAAUAACAACACUGGAAAUUAUAUUUCUAGUGAUUGGAAUGAUGGGAAUCCAAACCCCUUUCAGAGUAACAAUUGGAGGGCAAGUCUGGUGCCAGCAGCCGCGGUAAUUCCAGCUCCAAUAGCGUAUAUUAAAGUUGUUGCAGUUAAAAAGCUCGUAGUUGGAUAUCUGCUGGAAGCAGCCAGUCCGCUCUUUGGGUGUGCACUUGGUGAAUUCUGGCAUCCUCCUGAUUGGUGUUAUCAUCACUUCAUUGUGUUGAUGGCAGCUAUCAGGACUGUUACUUUGAGAAAAUUAGAGUGUUUCAAGCAGGCUUGUUGCCUUGAAUACUGCAGCAUGGAAUAACAAGAUAGGAUUUCGGUUCUAUUUUGUUGGUUUCUAGGACUGAAGUAAUGAUUAAUAGGGACAGUUGGGGGCAUUCGUAUUUAACUGUCAGAGGU